Molecule: ribosomal RNA, 254 nt
Filed under: uncultured bacterium
Lineage: Bacteria
Description: partial 16S ribosomal RNA
Rfam family: Bacterial small subunit ribosomal RNA
Source: RNAcentral
GACGAACCGUGCGAACGUUAUUCGGAAUCACUGGGCUUAAAGCGCGUGUAGGCGGCCCGGCACGUCCGCCGCUGAAAGACCCCGGCUCAACCGGGGAGCGGGCGCGGAUACGGCCGGGCUGGAGGGGGGUAGGGGGAGCCGGAACUCACGGUGGAGCGGUGAAAUGCGUUGAGAUCGUGAGGAACGCCCGCGGCGAAAGCGGGCUCCUGGGCCCCGCCUGACGCUGAGACGCGAAAGCCAGGGGAGCGAACGGG